This is a long non-coding RNA of Poecilia reticulata (guppy), 3255 nucleotides long. RefSeq lists it as uncharacterized. The record is from RefSeq and is a predicted model, not a curated record. Lineage: Eukaryota; Metazoa; Chordata; Actinopteri; Cyprinodontiformes; Poeciliidae.
AUGUAUAAACUAAUUCCGCAAUCGUCACGGCGGAGCGAGCUGGAAGCGGAGCGAGAAGCGGGUGGUUGUGUUGGGGGGGGAGGUCGACUGCCUGAGCUGGCUGGAUGAGCCGAUGGAUGCAUGCGUGCACGGAGGGGGAGAUGCAGCUUGAGGAUGGAGAGCCCCGCCGGUGGAUCACGCCGAUGGAGCACCUUCUUCCUCCUUGGAAGAUCAUCGUUGCGGAAAAGAGAGGCGAUCCUCCCUCAAAAGAUGGAUUCGUGGGACUACAUUUAUUUAUUUAUUUAUUUGUUUAUUUAUUUAUUUAUUUUUUGAUCAAGAGGGAUGCUUGUAGUGACAGUAGUAAGCAGCCGGACACGAGCUCCAUUCGCUGAGGGGUGAUGAGGAUGAUAGAGGCGCCGAUGCUGGUGUCUUUAAUGGACCAUUCCCAGUUUGGAACUACACGGCACGUGGCCGCAUGUGCCGUUUUUUUUUUUUUUUUAAUUCAUUGCUACUUGGACGCCGCUGAACAGCAGACACAAGGAGUAAGUGAAGCUCUACAGAAAUACUCGCACCUCAUCCACAGGCCUUCUAGCAACAGACAGCCUGACCUUCUGGCCCGAGGAGCGGAGGUCAGUGACGGGGUCAGGCCAUCGCUGUGACGUCAGAGCUUGAGAAGAAGAAGAGGAGGAGACGGUGGAGGAGGGAAAAGAGAAACCAGAGUGGGUGGAAGCCUGGAAGAAGAGGAGGAUGGAAGCAGUUUGAGGAGGUUGUUUGAAGCGGGUGAACCCAGAGCAGGUGAACGCAGCUGCGGAUCGCCAUGGGCUUUCUGUCUACUUCCUCUUGUGGGCCAAGUUGCUCUGUACUGGGGUUCCGAAGAUCCAACAGGGGGCCAGCCAAAAGCUGCAGCGAAGUGGGCAGGCUAGGCCAGGAAAGAGGCAGGUGAGCCGGGUGAGCCGAGCUCUCGUUCCCGCCGGCUAGGAGUCUCCUCGGCAGAGCAGAGCAGCGCGGAGCAGCAGAAAUCAAUACCGAGGAGAGAGGCGAGCAGAGGUUGCCCAACACCGCCUGCAGGCCUCAGAGCCCAGGGACCAACCACCACCACCACCACCACUACUCCCAGCUCCUAUCUACCAACUCUCCUUCUGUCUCUCUCCUGGAGUUCCAGUACCGGCCAGGGCCAAGGCCGUCACCUCGCAGCUGCCCUAAUCACAGUGUGUUUGCCAGAACAUGCACACUUGUGCGCAGGAAAGUAAAAUGAACAGAGACAGAAACUAUCCUUGUGUGGGGUUCAGCUGGAGGUUUUCCAACUCCGCUUGAUAAAACUUUGCCAAAGACACACACACACACAAGGAAGCGGCUGAAGAGCGAGCCGUGACGUCGGGGUCCCUUUCCUUCCGGCUCCCACGCUCCAAUUAGUCAUUCCACCUUUACCUUUUCUGGAAGAGGAUGCUACGGAGGACGUCGCGGCUCAGCGCUGUUUCCAAGCACGUUUAGCGCACGGUAUUCCUAAGAUCUCAUGAGGCCGGAUGAAAGGACAAUUUGAACUUUUUCCUCUCAUCACUGUAUCAGGCAGAAGCUGUCUUUUCGCCUUAGAUUUUCUUACCUGCACAACAGCAGCUCCCUUCAGAGGAUAUGGCAGUGCAGUAUUGAUCCGUGAGGUGGAAGAGAGAAAGGCGGGUUCAGGCUUUCAUACCUCUUUCCCUCACUCUGUGUGUGUGUGUGUGUGUGCGUGUGUGUGCGUGUGUGUGUGUGUGUGUGUGUGUGUGUGUGUGUGUGUGUGNGUGUGUGUGUGUGUGUGUGUGUGUGUGUGUGUGUGUGCGUGUGUGUGUGUGUGUUUCUUGGGGUGAAAGGGGGUGGAUUGUACCUGAAGUCCACUUACUGCUGUGCAAAACGGAUCCAGUGACAGCACAGGUGAAUGACUGCUAAUUGAAUGAGGGCUCGAGUGAAAAGGACCCUAGUUUGACAGACUGGUUCCUCCUGCACAUAUGCAAAGCCUUUUGAAGCCAUGUUCUUACUCAGAGUAGGAAAGCAAAAGCAGAGAAACACCUUCACCUGGCGCCUGGAAGACGCAUCCUCACUAAACUUCCACUUCUAGAGUUCGUGCUGUACAUGCUUGAGGAUUGAGGUUUUUGGCCAAAAAAACCUGGAGAUAUUCUCUUCAGAUUGACAUUUGUGAAGCAGUCGGGUGAAGAGCCACCAUGAGGAUUAACAACAGGCCUUAAAAAAAUAAGGCAGCACACAUGCCUCCUUUAGCUAGCUACACGGUUAGCCUGGUCCAGUUUCCCACCUACACGAUCAGUUAGCUUCCCCGUUUGGGGGCAGAUAAUCCGCAUCUUUUCCUUAAGACAUCAGGUAAAAAGGAGCCGCUUCGAAAGGUGAGUUUUAACAUUGAAUUUUUCUGAUGUCGUGUUGUUGUUGUUGUUUUUUAUCAGCUUUUAUUCUGCAGAUUUGUCUGUAAAUUGCAGUCUGCCAUGUCUAAAAUUGUGCAAUAAGUCUUUGCUAAAAAUAAUUUCUAUUUUUUUUCCCUAAAAACAGUAUUUAUAGAUACAGCACCCUGCACUUUUAAAGGCUGAUAGAGAUAAGUAAAAAGCCUGAAAACAAUUUUUUUUCUUUUUUCAGCAGCAGCCCAAUUGCACAGACACACAAAAAAAGCUGCUAUUUUCAUUUAAGUUUAGAGAUUUUAUUUCACCUCUUUUACCAGCUUCUUCACGGUUACAAGAUCAACUUUGGUCCUCUUUCAGCCUUGUUCGUCACUGUUUCAGUUCUUUUAACAUUUUCCAUUAUUCGCCUGACUCCAGACCUGGCAUGUUAACCCAGCUGGUUAUUUUAAAGUAGUUAUUUCCUGCCUUACUUGGCACAUUCUCUUCUCUGUCCCAUUUUCAAGAUUGGCAUAAAAAUACUCAAUCAAAAUUAUGAAAUAAUAUUUGGAUUUUCAGAAACAAAGCUUAAGUUAGGUCUAUUUAACGAGGAUUGUGUGAAGAAUGUCAGCGCUUUAGAUUUUGCAAAAGAAAAACAAUUUGUUCAUUCCCUUUUCUUAGUAAAAAAUAUUUUCUCUUAAAUUAAGGUUUGACUUUUUCUUUCUUGUUUUUUCGUGUGAGAUUAUGCCACUGCAGAAAAGCAACAUUUCUUCCACAUCGUUACCAAUAGUUAUGAAAGGGUGCUGCUGACUUGUGAUUGUGAGAUGAAUAAUUUUUUCUUGAACCACGGAUUACUGUUAUAAUAUUCUGAAAUCUUAAAUAAAACUGAUACAAAUGUGAAAUAAAAAGCUGCUGCCUCCUU